AAUUAAACUUGUCUCCAUCCUAUUUCUCCCAUCUCUUCCCCUCUAGGCCAAUUUAAAGGCAAUGCUACCAAAUACUAAUUGAGUGUACGUAAACUUCUGACCCACUGGGAAUGUGAUGAAGGAAGUAAAAGCUGAAAUAUAUCAUUCUCUUAACUAUUAUUCUGACAUUUCACAUUCUUAAAAUAAAAUGGUGAUCCUAGCUGACCGAAAACAGUUUUUUUUAUUACUAGGAUUAAAUGUCAGGAAUUGUGAAACUGAGUUUAAAUAUAUUUGGCUAAGGUGUAUGUAAACUUCUGACUUCAACUGUACAUAUCAUAGAAAUACUUGGAGAUAGCACUACGGGACCAUGGAUUGUGCUGUUGUGAGCUUAUUGGUCAUGCUCCUGGCUGGGGUGUGGCAUAGUGUUUCUCCUUCUGAAGCCACAUUGGUUGAGUGUGGCACUGGGAAGACUUGUACUGUGGCCUUACUCAGCCUUAACCCUGCCACUCUGGUCUGCCCUGGUUCCUCCCUACACCCUUUGAUCAAGUGGACCAUCCAGGGAAUCUUGGACACAGGCUACAGCUCAUCUCCAAUAGUGAUCCAGACCAGUAGAGCCCCCACCAGUCUGCUGAAGGCUGACACCACCAACUGUGAAAGAGUGAAUCUCCCCUAGUGUUACCUUCUGUGGACUUGGAGUACUCCGAAACCAACAGGCAAAGGUUUGGCUUGGGUCUGCAGAGAGCUCCAAGCAGGCAAAGAAGGAAUAUCAAUCUAUGGAGAGCUCUGUAACUAUACUCCAAUAUCCAAUACAGAGCUCUGGUCAGGAUAGAACCAGGGGGUGUACAGGUUUUUCAAUCAUCCCUUAUGGUGGCCAGCCAGACUCGCCCUCAGGCUCCUGCCUCCGCCGCCUUUGAGACACAGGACUUACCUCGCAUCUAAACUCAGCAUGCUCGCCAGUGAACCUCCUGCCUCUUUCUGCCCAUGUGCAACCCUUAACCUCUGACCACAUCAGACCAGCGACCCUCUGGCACAGUUUUCGACUGAUAAUGACCUCCAGUCACGCCUCAGAGGUGGAGAGCAUAACCUUGUCUUCACUGACACCUGGGUCUGGACUCUAUACCUGCCAGGUGCGGGAUGUGACCCUGGCUCAGUUUGAGGUGCAGGAUGUUUAGUGAAGUGCAGAUAUCACACGCAUCCCACCAUGGGCAAUUGCCCAGGGAAAACUUAAGUGAGGCUGGGGGAGGUGUUCACAGUAUGGGGUGCGUGGCAGGGUUGAAAUUGCUGUGGGAAACAGAGAGAGGAAGAGGAUUGGGUUGUGCUAUGCACAGGUCCUCAAUGUGAGCACAGGAGAGGGGAUCCCGGGUGCGGCCCUUGGGUCUGGGGUGGUUCAGAGAUUACUAGAGAAAUUACAAGGUUUCUCCAUUGUCCUGGGCCAAGAGGUCAUCAUAGAAACAUGUUGCCAGGACUGUCCGACCUCUUGUCUGCAUGACUAGGAUGACAUUCCACUCCGCGGAUCCUCCAUCGGUCACUCCUGAAGCCUGUUGACAUCACAGCCUCCUUGGAUACUGUGCUACUGUGUCCCUCUGUCUCUGUGUACAGCCCUGUAUACUGGGAAUGAGAUGCACUGCCUCUAACCCAGCUGGACCUUCUCCAGAAGAACAGCUCCCACUCUCUGGAUCUCUCACGGGAGAAACGGCUACCUCAUCCACCAGGCCUCUCUGUCUGACUCGAGUCUACCGCUGUUUCCAGGGGGGGUGGCUGAGAGGGGGUUACCUCCUGCAGG
Molecule: long non-coding RNA, 1762 nt
Organism: Oncorhynchus tshawytscha (Chinook salmon)
Lineage: Eukaryota; Metazoa; Chordata; Actinopteri; Salmoniformes; Salmonidae
Source: Ensembl